GCCUUAAUAGCUUAAAUCCAAAGCACUGGUCUUGUAAACCAAAGACGGGAACUAAUCACCCCUUAAGACA
This 70-nucleotide transfer RNA is filed under the name Dibamus bourreti. RNAcentral describes it as "tRNA-Thr". It matches the Rfam family "tRNA". From Rfam's summary of the family: Transfer RNA (tRNA) molecules are approximately 80 nucleotides in length. Their secondary structure includes four short double-helical elements and three loops (D, anti-codon, and T loops). Lineage: Eukaryota; Metazoa; Chordata; Lepidosauria; Squamata; Dibamidae. RNAcentral also lists the same sequence under 1 other name. The record is from RNAcentral.